GUCUAUGGCCAUGCCAUCCUGAACAUGCCCGAUCCCAUCUGAUAUUGGAAGCUAAGCAGGGUCAAACCUAAUUAAUACUUGGAUGGGAGAAUCACCUAGGAAUACCAGGUGCUGUAGGUG
This 120-nucleotide ribosomal RNA is filed under the name Pteropus alecto (black flying fox). Lineage: Eukaryota; Metazoa; Chordata; Mammalia; Chiroptera; Pteropodidae. The record is from RNAcentral.